Molecule: ribosomal RNA, 253 nt
Filed under: uncultured bacterium
Lineage: Bacteria
Description: partial 16S ribosomal RNA
Rfam family: Bacterial small subunit ribosomal RNA
Source: RNAcentral
UACGUAGGGUGCGAGCGUUGUCCGGAAUUAUUGGGCGUAAAGAGCUUGUAGGCGGUCUGUCGCGUCUGCUGUGAAAAUCCGGGGCUCAACCCCGGACUUGCAGUGGGUACGGGCAGACUAGAGUGUGGUAGGGGAGACUGGAAUUCCUGGUGUAGCGGUGAAAUGCGUAGAGAUCCGGAGGAACACCAGUGGCGAAGGCGGCUUUCUGGGUCCGCCCUGACGCUGAGGCGCGAAAGCGUGGGGAGCGAACGGG